CACAUGGUUUUUACAUAACCAUUGUGGAGUACCCUUGUUGUGUGAUGAGCGAUUGUCAACAUGCCAACAUUUUGGUGGGUUGUUGGUUCGGUGGUUCUACUGAUAUCCUGGCACAGGGUUAUGUGUCGAAACGGUGUCUCUUGGCUUCGUGAUGUGCAGGUGUGGAGUCUGGAUGCGGUGGCAGCGGUCGGGUGAAGGUCAAGUAGGGCGUGCCGUGCUGACGGACCGGUUGCAGUGAAGAGCGGACGUGAGGCUUGGACUGACGGACCAGACGACUGGGUGGCCAGCUGCGGUGGCUGACACUUGGCACAUCGAUAAGCGCAAGUGUACACGGCGGGGGACGCGUACGGGCUACGCUACUCGCGGCGGGUUUCGCGGGUUUGGGCCUCAAAACCCGGGCGGAGGUUCCAAGGCGGAACGGACGACACGUGGCGGCAUCGGUGAGAUCGCUUCGGAGCGAGGCUACCGGUGAGAAGGCGCGGUGGCCGUCGGAUUUAGGUCAUGUCGGGUUGGACUAGAAUGCCCCUGGGGCUAGCUAGUUCGCUCAAGAAUAUCUAGGGGCAUUUGAGGGUUGUGUAAUAUGCCUGAUAAAUAAACAGAGGAGUCCCUCAUCUCCCUUAUCCAUCAAACCUGCUCUCCACCUCUCUCUUGGCUCUCUCCCUUUCUCUCCCGUAGGUCUCUCUGGCUGUAGGUUUUUCCUUUGAGUUCUCUCUACGAACUGAAUCCUUUAUGGUGUAAUUUUUCUGUUGAGAUUUGGUAUGGGAAUGGAGGCCCAAAUCCUCCAGUUGCCCUCUGGGAUUCGUCACAUUUAGCUGUGAUUUUUGUAUGUCCCGUGCAGUAUUCUUAUCCCUGUUUUCUCCUUUCUCGUUUUCUUUUCGAAUUUCAUUGAUUCACGGAGUUACGGUUUAAAUUGAGUAAUGAUUUUCUAGGAGUAGCCUUCUGUCUCUGUUGUGAAUCUCUGUACCAAGUUUGAGAGCCUGAUGUUUUGAUUCUUGUGAGUUCUGUGAAUUUUUGGAUCUGGGAUACCCUCUGUUCUUCAUCGUGGCCAGGCGGUGCAGACCUCGCUGGCUGUGUGCUUCGUAGCAGUGCACGGCUUGCCUAAGUUUUCUGAAGCCACUCUCACUCAGUGCCUUCUAUUGGUUCUCUGAUCGAUCUUGCCGCUAAGACACUGGUGAAGUUCGUGGUUGUUUUAUGUUCGUCAGGUUUCUGUUCAUGUCUGUUUCUGUCGAGUGGAAAGGGCUAGCAGCGGGCCUAUCCAGAGCGCUCCAUUGCUGAGUGCCCCAGCACCAUUUGGUGCCUUCCAUCCUGGAUGAUGCUCGUCCCGAUGGUUGUUCAUCGUUUCUUCUCGUUGUGUAUGAAGCUCAGCGGGUGCAGUCCCUCGCAGUGUGCCGCUGUGUUUUAGUGCUGCUGAGAAGCAGAGUUCAGGGAAGCAAGUUCUUUUCCAGUCCAGGGCUCGUCAAUCUCAGUUCACGGUAAUUUUCAGAGGAGCAUAUUGGUUACGCUCUUGGGUCCAACUACAGCGUGAUGAGACAGCCAAGGACGCUCUCUCAAUGAUGAGCAAGAAGUUAGAAAUAAUUGCUUUAGAGAUUUCCAAUAGGAGUUGGAAACAUUUAUACUAUUUGCUUUAGCGUCCUGAUCGAUUUAUAAGACUAUAGAUUUCACUGUGAUUCUCCCAAACUCUGUAAUAAUUGGCUGUGUACAUCUCUGGAUGUAGAGGCCGGAUAUUUGUUUAUCCAUUAUCUAAAAAAAAGAUAAUCUGCAGUGUGUUUUACUAAUAAGGCUAGCUGUUCGAUUCUAUAUAUAGGGAAACAUGUGUUUUUA
Sorghum bicolor (sorghum) is the source of this 1821-nucleotide long non-coding RNA. RefSeq lists it as uncharacterized. The transcript is spliced from 2 exons. The record is from RefSeq and is a predicted model, not a curated record. Lineage: Eukaryota; Viridiplantae; Streptophyta; Magnoliopsida; Poales; Poaceae.